RNAcentral lists this ribosomal RNA (433 nucleotides) under uncultured bacterium. Its description in RNAcentral is "partial 16S ribosomal RNA". It matches the Rfam family "Bacterial small subunit ribosomal RNA", at positions 29 to 507 of the family's 1533-position model. The record is from RNAcentral.
AACGAACGCUGGCGGCAUGCCUAACACAUGCAAGUCGAACGAGACCUUCGGGUCUAGUGGCGCACGGGUGCGUAACGCGUGGGAACCUGCCCUUAGGUUCGGAAUAACUCCCCGAAAGGGGUGCUAAUACCGGAUAAUGUCUUCGGACCAAAGAUUUAUCGCCUUUGGAUGGGCCCGCGUUGGAUUAGCUAGUUGGUAGGGUAAAAGCCUACCAAGGCGACGAUCCAUAGCUGGUCUGAGAGGAGGAUCAGCCACACUGGGACUGAGACACGGCCCAGACUCCUACGGGAGGCAGCAGUGGGGAAUAUUGGACAAUGGGCGAAAGCCUGAUCCAGCAAUGCCGCGUAAGUGAUGAAGGCCUUAGGGUUGUAAAGCUCUUUUACCCGGGAUGAUAAUGACAGUACCGGGAGAAUAAGCACCGGCUAACUCCGUG